RNAcentral lists this long non-coding RNA (6117 nucleotides) under Malus domestica (apple). Its description in RNAcentral is "long non-coding RNA (MDOM_LNC017217)". Lineage: Eukaryota; Viridiplantae; Streptophyta; Magnoliopsida; Rosales; Rosaceae. The record is from RNAcentral.
UCAAAUUCUAUUGCUUUCUGGCCACACUGCUCCCAUUUCGUUGAAGAUGUUGUUUGCGUCAUCUUCCAAUUGGAUCAUUGAUCUCAGAGAAGAUUGUAGCAGAUAUACAUUAGACGGAUUCAUUGCUAGCAAAACCUUGCCCAGUACUAAUGCCACCGUCAUUUAAGAAGGUAACCUCAUUGUCACCAUUACUUCCAAUGCUCUUUCGAUGAAGCUGCAAUGCAAGCUCAAAAAUUGCUUUUGAAUAUGCAAGCUGCUUGGGUUCUUGUUUUUCUUUGUAUGAACCUGUGUGAACAACCUAUGUGAAUAUGAGAUCUUGAGUUUGAAAAAAAAAAAUAUUUAUAUAUAUAUUUUUUUUCUGAUAUUACGCGUCAAAUUUCCUAUUAGUAGUAAUAAUUUGAUUCGAUGCAUUUGAGUCGGCAGUGUGGACUUGCGGGAUAUUUGAACUCAUAGACUUGCGUUCUUGCAAGACACCCCUCAUCACGGCCCAAAAUUAAUGCGCAAGGGCCCAGUCAUUAAAUGACAUAUGUUUAUAAAUUUAACUUCAUUUUCAUAAAUUUAAUACGUAGCAAACAAUAAUUAGAACCAUAAGACUAACUCCAAUGGUGGGCUAAAAGCUAAAUUACCCCCCAAACCCAAUCCAACCCAAGGGGAAAAUUUGGGCUAAAUGCUAAAUGCUAAACCAAGACCAGAUUUCUCCUAAAAUUUAGCUCAGAAAUCAUAAUUUAAUUUUUUUUAGAUUAAAAUGUUCAUAAAAUUAAUUUACGAUAGUCUACAUAUUUAUUUAUUUUUAAAAAAUUUAAUUUAAAAUGUUCAUAAAAUCUCUACUUUGAAAAUCUACGACAAGUUGUUGGGAUUUCGAUGGAAGGGAGGCGUUUGUUUACAUUGUGUUACUCGCAUAAAAACUCUAAACUAAGAUGGUGACGCCACUCGUUAGAGGACAAGUGAUGAAUGCAUUUUGAUUUUAUUGCCACAAUGGGCUAAAUGGUGUCAAUACAAAAAUAUAAACAAAGAUUCUAUGAACCAUAGUGAGCUCCCCCAUACAACCAUAAGAUAUUCAAUUUAUGAAAGCAUAAUGCUUGAGAUUUGACGCUAAAGAUGUCUCAGAUAUGCAUUGGAUGAGUUCCUUUUCCUAAGGACUUUGCUCACUGCCACUAGUUUAGGUGGUAGUGUCAUUGAAGAAGGCAACCUGAUGGUCAAUUGUGACUAUUCCUUUCAAUGCAACUCUGAUGAAGCCGCAACACAAACUCAAGGGAAUUCACAACGUCAUUCAUUGAUGGCCGUUCGUUGUAGUCAAUGCCUUUUUUUUGGUGCAUACCUUUUAGCAACUAAUCUAGCAUUAAAUCUCACAUUGCUUUUCUCAUCAACACCUUCUUUCUUGGCAUACACCCAUUUGUAUUUGAUAGCUUUCUUGCCCUUAGGCAAUUUAGCUGACUCUCAAGUCUUAUUCUUCAAGAGAGAAUUCAUCUCAUCAUCUCCCAUUGCAUUGCAUCACUUUUCAUUUUCUUCACUCUCAAUGGCUUCCUCAAAAUUGGAUGGAAACUCAUCGGUGAUAAUAGGAAGAGCAAAAGCAACAUAGUCACUAUACCGAGUUGGCUAAGUAAUAUGUCUCUUUCCUCUGUUCUUGGCAAUAGACUUUUGAGGCGAAACUUGCCCUUCGUCUUGAAAAGAGUCUUCAACUUCAACAUCUUCAACAUCCUCAUGAUCUCCCACUUCUUCACUUGUAUUGGCUUCGACAUCAGCUGAAAUAGGAUUUGAAGUACUAGAGGCAACUUUCUCAAGCUCUACCUUUGGACAUCUUUCACAUUCUUCUCAGAGUCUAUUCACAUACUUUCUUCAUCGAAUGUCACAUUUCUGGGCACCACAACCUCUAACGUUUGGCACCACUUUAAAACCAAGAAAGAUAGCCCUUUUUUUUGCUCUAAGAUUAAGUUUAUUUUCAGUUAUAUGAAAAUAAGCAGGUGAACCAAAAAUAUGGAUAUAGUCAUAAUCAAAAGAAGUUUUUCCAAUCCAAACUUCCAUUGGUAUCUUACCCAGAACAACAGCCGAAGGUAAUUGGUUGAUGAUGUGAUAUGCAUAAGUAAUUGCCUCUGUCCAAUAUGACUUGCUCAAACCCGACUGAGACAACAUACAUCUAACUUUCUCAAGCAAUAUUCGAUUCAAUCUUUCUGCAAUUCCAUUUUGCUGGGGAGUUCCCUUGACACUGAAAUGCCUCACAAUUCAUUCCUCUUGCAAACUUUAAAGAAAUGGUCAAAUGUGUAUUCACCACCAUUAUCCGAUCCCAAAAUCAUAAUCUUCCUCCUAAUCUGGUUCUCAACUAUUUUCUUCCAACCUAAGAAAAUACUCAACACCUCACUCAUAUGCUUCAUAGCGUAGACCUAAGACCUUUUAGAAUAAUCAUCAACAAAUGUCACCAACCUAAGAAAAUACUCAACACCUCACUCAUAUGCCCUUCGUUUGAUGUACUGCAGUACCAAACUUCAUUCUAGUUUGCUUCCCUAAGACACAAUGCUCGCAGAAAUUAAGCUUACAAGUCAUGGCACCUUUUAGAAGACCUUGUUUCACUAGACUUUAUAGAGCUUUCUCAUCGGCAUGGCCUAAUCUCAUAUGUCAUAGUCUAGUAGUAUCUGAAUCAAAUGUGACCAUAUUUUCUAAGACUACCGUUGCUUCACCUGUCAUAGUGCUUUCUUGCAAUAGAUACAAAUGACCACAUUGAGGAGCUUUCAUCACAACAAGUGCGUCAUAAGUAACUUUCAGUGUCUGCCUAUCUAAAUAAAACCUGAAGCCCUUUGAUUCUAAAGUACCCAAAAAAAAGAUUUUUUUUCUUCAAAUUCGUACAUACCGAACACCUGUCGACUCUUUAGCCAUACCAUCAUGCAACUUCAAACGAACUGUACCAAUCCCUUUCGUUGUACAAGGAUUAUCAUAUCCCAUAAAAACGACACCACCGUCAAACUCUUUAAAGCUUAAAAACCAAUCAUUGUGAGGAGUCAAAUGAUGAAUACAACCCUUAUCCAACACCCACUUGGUAGAACAAUCAAAAGAUGAUGAAGCGGUUAAAGCAAAAUCAGAAAAAUCAUUCUCAAGCUUAGUAACAUUAGCUUUAGAACUCACUUUACCUUUAUCUUUGGUCUUCAACCUGGGGCAAUCUUUCUUCCAGUGCCCCUUAGUAUGACAAAAAGCACAUUCAUCCAUUUCCAUACUUUUUCUACUUUUAGAAUUUCCUCUAGGUCGAGACUUUGAUUUUUUCUUACUAGAGAAAAAUUCCUCUCCAACGAUCUACCUUUAACAAAUAAAGCCUCAAAGAUACUAUCAUGAUUUUUAUCUCUAUGCCUCAUUUCAUAAUUCAUCAAGGCAUUGGACACAUCUUCAAAUUUCACAGUUUCUUUACCAUGCAUAGUAGUAGUAACAAAAUGCUCAUAAAAAUCCAACAAAGAAUUCAACAAUAUUAAGGCCUUAUCUUCAUCCUUAAUAUCCUUAUCUAAAUUCAUCAAAUUGACAAUCAACUUAUUAAAAGCAUCAAGGUGUCUAAUCAUUUUUGUACCUUCUUUAUAUUGGAAGAGGUAGAGUUUUUUCUUCAAGUAUAGUCGGUUCUCAGAACUCUUCGCUAUAUACUUGUCUUCUAAUUUUUGCCACAACGACUUUGCCAACGUCUCCUGCAUCACAAAAUACUUCUGAGUUUUUGUAAGGCACAACCAAAUUAUGGAGCAAGCCCACAAAUUCAAUUUCUCCCAAUCUAAUUUCGACAUAAUUUCCACCUUAUCUCCCAAAGCUGCAAGUAGAUUUUGUUGAGUCAACACAUCCUUGACCUCACAUUGCCACAUUCCGAAGUUGUUCGACUUCAAACUUUGCAUUUUGCACCGUAGUUCUUGCAAAUCUUGAGCUGUUUCCAAAACUAUUCUCAUCUUGCCCGCCUGACAUCUUUAGUUACUAGACGGUACCCAAGAGCAACUAGUGCUCUGAUACCAAUUGUUGUGCUAGGAUAACACCAAACCAAUUGAAAACCAACUCAAGCUAACCUAUAAGGAAUAUAUCAAAUGAAAUGCAAGAACAAAAAUAGAAAAAACGCUAAGAUUUAACGAGGUUUCUCGAUAGUUAAUGUAACUGGAGUAUGUCCUCAGAGCAGUAGGAGCUUACCAGUAAUCCACUAUCAAUCAAAUAGGAGUGUUUACAAAGUGUUGACAAUCUCACAAUCCAAAACCCAAUACACCCAAUAGCUAUCACACACCACAUAACAAAUAGAGAAGAAAAUAUAGAGAAUAAUUUCCUCCGUAUACAAAGCUCAAACCUAAUACAUCAACUAAAACUUUGAUAGAGUGAUUGCUAACCAAAGAAAUGAGCGCUUUGCUUUCAAAAUGAGGCUGCGGCACUCUUUUUAAUCUUCUUUGCUGCUGCUUAAACCAAAGGGCGGCUGCCCUGCCUUAUUAAAGAACCCUAGCCACCCCGUGGCUUUUCAAAAGGGCUAGAUAAAAGGCCCAUUGGUGGGCAGGUGAGAUCAACUAAAGGCCCAAUAGAAUUUGGCAACAAAUCCAACAAGAUGAAGAAAAUUGGUUUCGUCAUGGUAAAUUUUAUGAAGGUAUUUAUUUGUUGAUUUGGUUGUAUGCAUGAAUAAACUUAGCUCUUUUUUAUGAGUAGAUAUGUCAUGUGUGGUUGUGUGUGUGUGUGUCUCUCAUUGCAAGUUCUCGAGAUUUAAGUUUAUCAGACUUUUCUCGGAUAACCACUGAUUAAGUCAUUGGCUUGCAUGCAAUUCAAUUGGGAUUCGAAAAUUGAAUUUUGUACAUUCUUUUUUAUUUUUGUACACUUUCUCUGACUUAUUGCCAUUGAUUUUUUUUAUUUGUUUAAAUGAAUGAUUAGAAAGAAAAAAAUGAUUGUGUAAGAAAGAAAAAAAGGUGUACAUAAGUCAUUUCCUCAAAUCUUUAUGCGUGUACUUUAACCAGUGUUUAAAAUAACGAUAUAGAUGAAAAUAUGAAUAUGCAAUUUUAGGAAAUAUCGAUGAAUAUAUCAAUAUCGGUAGUCUUCAAUGGAAAUUUGCAAUGGGUGGGUCAAUCAAGUCAUUCAUCAAAAUUAGAAAACAAAUUCUCAAAAAUAAAAAAUAAAAAAUAAAUUCAAAAGCUCUAAAUCUGCAAUAGGUAGUGAAUUAGUAAAUAUCAUCGAUAUUCAUUGAUUUUUUUAUAUUCAUUGAUUUUUUCCUAUAUCUCGUUGAUACAGGGUGAAUUUUACAUUUCACCCCUUUCCAUAUUGAUCCUUGAUUUUUCAAAUAUUAAAAUGGAAAUAUCAACAAUUUCGUAAAUAUUUUAAAAUGUAGAUAUUGUGAACACUGACUUCAAUAUAAGAGAACAAAUUGAGCGAGUUCUCCUUUUAUAAGUGUUGGUGUCCUUAUGUAAUGGGAUGUGUUUAAAGGACGUCAAGUUUCACGUCGAAACUUAGUGAAUCAAAUACAACAUAUAAUGAGUGGAAAAAUAAAAUACGAUAUAUAGUGCUUCUCGUAAGGCACCCCGUCAAUUCAGAGGAUGUGGUUGGAGGAUUAUACCGAUCGAAGACUUGACUACUUUUGUUCUUGAUGAAGAGAUAGACUUGAGUUAUUUGAGCAGGCAGGUGGCCCCUUUAGAUAUUUUGCUUCAUCUUCUUCACAUUUACAUGUCUGCUUCUUCAUUUUUCAAUGCUUCCUGGUGAAAAAUUUACUCAAUUAGGCAUUUUUGUACAAAGUCCGAACUAAUCACAUCGGAUGCGGACUAUUUAGUAAUGAGUACAGUGAUUAAGAAUGCAAUUGGAAAAUGAUUCUCUUGAAUUAGUUGGUGUUCAUUUGGAUUCAAAUACAACUGAUAUGAAAUUUGACGCAACAUAUUUACUAAUAUCCAAUUCAAAUUCUAUUGCUUUCUGGCUGCACUGCUCCCAUUUCAUUGAAGAUGUUGCUUGCGUCAUCUUCCAAUCGGAUCGUUAAUCUCAGAGAAGAUUGUCGCGGAUAUACAUUGGACGGAUUCAUUGCUAGCAAAACCUUGCUCGGUACUAACGCCACCGUCAUUUAAGAAGGUAACCUCAUUGUCAGCAUUACUUCCAAUGCUUUUUCGAUGAAGCUGCAAUGCAAGCUCAAGCCCCCUCACAACCUCAUUCAUCGAG